GUGUUCCUUGGAAGUUACCACC
This 22-nucleotide small nuclear RNA is filed under the name Arabidopsis thaliana (thale cress). RNAcentral's name for it is "snRNA_18522". The record is from RNAcentral. Lineage: Eukaryota; Viridiplantae; Streptophyta; Magnoliopsida; Brassicales; Brassicaceae.